AGUUCGAUCAUGGCUCAGAUUGAACGCUUAUGAUGUUUACACAUGCAAGUCGAACGGGCAGCACGGACUUCAGUCUGGUGGCGAGUGGCGAACGGUGAGUAAUGUAUCGGAACGUGCCUAGUAGUGGGGAUACUACGUAGCGCGCUAAUACUGCACAUUGCCCUUUCGGGAAAGCGGGGACCUUUCUUCGGGCCUCGCAAUUAUUAGAGCGGCCGAUAUCGGAUUAGCUAGUUGCGGGCAACGGCUCACCAAGGGCGACGAUCCGUAGCUGGUUUGAGAGGACGACCAGCCACACUGGGACUGAGACACGGCCCAGACUCCUACGGGAGGCAGCAGUGGGAAUUUUGGACAAUGGGGGAAACCCUGAUCCAGCCAUCCCGCGCGUGUGUGAUGAAGGCCUUCGGGUUGUGGGUAUACACUUUUGGCAGGAAAGAAACGGCAUCGGCUAAUACCCUCGUGCAACUGACGGUACCUCCGCAGAAUAAGCACCGGCUAACUACGUACCAGCACAAGGCGGUAAUACGUAUGGGUGCAAGCGUUAAUCGGAAUUACUGGGCGUAAAAGCGUGCAGGCGGUUCGGAAAGAAAGAUGUGAAAUCCCAGAGCUUAACUUUGGAACUGCAUUUUUAACUACCGAGCUAGAGUGUGUCAGAGGUGGAGGUGGAAUUCCGCGUAGCAGUGAAAUGUAGAUAUGCGGAGGAACACCGAUGGCGAAGGCAGCCUCCUGGGAUAACACUGACGCUUCAUGCACGAAAGCGUGGGGAGCAAACAGAUUAUUACCCUGGUAGUCCACGCCCUAAACGAUGUCAACUAGCUGUUGGGGGCUUUCGGGCCUUGGCAGGUAGCGCAGCUAACGCGUGAAGUUGACCGCCUGGGGAGUACGGUCGCAAGAUUAAAACUCAAAGGAAUUGACGGGGACCCGCACAAGCGCGGAUGAUGUGGAUUAAUUCGAUGCAACGCGAAAACCUUACCUACUCCUUGACAUGUUCUGGAAUCCUGAAGAGAUUUGGGAGUGCCUGCAAGAGAACCGGAACACAGGUGCUGUGAUUAAGGUCGUCAGCUCGUGUCGUGAGAUGUUGGGUUAAGUCCCGCAACGAGCGCAACCCUUGUCAUUAGUUGCUACGAAAGGGCACUCUAAUGAGACUGCCGGUGACAAACCGGAGGAAGGUGGGGAUGACGUCAAGUCCUCAUGGCCCCCAGGGUAGGGCUUCACACGUCAUACAAUGGUCGGGACAGAGGGUCGCCAACUACAGGGGGAGCCAAUCCCAGAAACCCGAUCGUAGUCCGGAUCGCAGUCUGCAACUCGACUGCGUGGGAAGUCGGAAUCGCUAGUAAUCGCGGAUCAGCAUGUCGCGGUGAAUACGUUCCUGGUCUUGUACACACCGCCCGUCACACCAUGGGAGUGGGUUUACCAUGAAGGAGCGCCUAACCGCAAGGAGUGCUGGACACUACGGUAGGAUUCAUGACUGUAUGAAGUCGUAACAAGGUAG
Molecule: ribosomal RNA, 1489 nt
Filed under: uncultured Bordetella sp.
Lineage: Bacteria; Pseudomonadati; Pseudomonadota; Betaproteobacteria; Burkholderiales; Alcaligenaceae
Description: partial 16S-23S ribosomal RNA intergenic spacer
Rfam family: Bacterial small subunit ribosomal RNA
Source: RNAcentral